RNAcentral lists this long non-coding RNA (5076 nucleotides) under Sus scrofa (pig). Its description in RNAcentral is "lncRNA (ENSSSCG00000059731.1)". Lineage: Eukaryota; Metazoa; Chordata; Mammalia; Artiodactyla; Suidae. The record is from RNAcentral.
UUCUACAAAGACCGACCAAGAGGUGCUGAUGCCUGCUCUUCCCCUGCCCUCACGGCAAACCCUCCUGGAAACAACCUGAGACAUGUGGGGAAUGGGGGUUGUAUGCUAAGACUGUGAUGACCAAGAGAAGGUUAACUAAUCAGGUCAUGGACCGUUGCUAAUAAUGGUUUUCACAUCGUUCCUUUUCAUUAAACCUUGGGCAGCUUUCAGAACAGAAUAGUCGGCUGCUAAAACACAGAUGGAGUAACACCCACAGUGAUUCUCCUUCACCUCAGAAUGAAGCUCUAACUUCACACCCCACUGGCUCAUCUACUGUGGGGUCUCGACAUGAUCCCUGCUGUAUAAACUGCUUCUCACUUCAGGGACUAUGCACGGUUACCCCUUGGCGCUUCAAGCACGAGAUCCUUCUUCUGCCUUGAGCUGAUCUUCACAGUUAACGUCCUCACUCUUCAGGAUUCACUCAAGAUCCCCUUUCUCCAGGAGCCCUUUCGAAUCCUCCAAGCCUGGGUUAAAUGCUCGCUUUAGGAGUUCCCGUCGUGGCGCAGUGGUUAACGAAUCCGACUAGCAACCAUGAGGUUGCGUGUUUGGUCCCUGCCCUUGCUCAGUGGGUUAAGGAUCCGGCGUUGCCGUGAGCUGUGGUGUAGGUUGCAGACGCGGCUCGGAUCAUGCGUUGCUGUGGCUCUGGUGUAGGCCGGUGGCUACAGCUCCGAUUGGACCCCUAGCCCGGGAAUCUCCAUAUGCCGCGGGAGCGGCCCAAGACCAAGAAAUAGCAAAAAAAAAAAAAAAAAAAAAAAACUCGCUUUAGGUCAGCAUCCCUUGCAAACCUCCCAGAUGGCACGCUUCUCCUCACCCUGUAUUUGAGGUGAGGUGUUUGGCUCCAUGGGUGGGGGGGGGGCGGGUGUGACUGCUGCUAGCUUUUAAGCCUCACUCUUUCCUUUUUCCUUUGUGUCCACAUUUGGACAAGCUGAUAAGAAAGCCCAGCUGUUCCUCCUUUGGCGCCGGCAGGAGAUUCAAACCCUGUGCAGGAACUCCCACUCUGGCCUCACCCCUGACCACAAUCAGAACCCAAGCCAGCCUCCUCUCCUUGUUCUCUCAAGCAGGGCAGAUCUGCCGAGAGGCGGCUCGGCUCGCCUCAGAGACCUCAAUGCUGGGGGCCGGAAACCUUUUCCUACCCUCUGGGUGUAUGAGGGUGUCGGGGAUGGGUGGUGGUCAGACGUCUCAACGUCUGAAGCAAACGCUGGGUGGAGGGUCCAUCUACCAUUGAAGGUGACCAGGGCAGUGCUGUAAGCACCGAUUUUCUCAUCCAUCUUCUCCCCCAAAUUACAAGUUCUUUGAAGAUUGUGUAAUUUAUUCAGGGAUUCUCUACCCAUGCCUGGAACAGUGUCUGGUACAAUAGCAGACAUUCACUAAAUAUUUGCUUGUUGAAUAAAAUACAAUCUUUAGGCAAAUCCCUGUUUUCACUCAAUUAAAUGUAAAUAACUUAGAUUUUUGUGAUUUUUAAGGGAACUCACAUAUCAUCAAAAACAACCCAAACUAUAUAGUGCAAAUAUAUAUAAUAUAUAUUAUGUAAUAUAGCAAAUAAAUACAUAUAUAACACACAUAUACAUAUAUACACACACACACAUAGCAAAAUAUAUAUAUUUGCCUGUUAUGGCAAAACAAACACAUGGAAGGGUUUUUGUUGUUACUGUUGCUGUUAUUUAUAGGAAGAUGUUCCAGAAGAGAAACUUACAAAGAUACAUAAUGACCCUUUGUGGACUCAGCUGAGAGGUAAUGGGAUCAGGACCCUGGGAGGUAUGUACACAGGCCUCCUUUGGAGAUGCUUCCCCCAGUCUCCACGCCUCCAGCACCGUGUGUGGGGAUUACCAUUGAUCUGGAUCAUUGAAAGAACCUGGAAGUAAUCAGGGACCCAGGGCCAGGUAGCAAACUAUACAUACAUUUAUUACACAUUUCACAAUUAUUUCAAAACUGCUUUCAGAUGGGAUGCUUGUAUUUCAAAGCAACCAGUAUCAAAGUUAAAUCUCCACCAGUAGCUGACUUUAAUAGCUGCCUGUAAUACUCUCGGAUCAUCAUCUGCCUCAAUUACAAGGAUAAUAGGUAAAAACUCUGCUGAAAUGGCUACAUGAACAGUGAAAUGACCUGUCCUCUCCCAGCUGCCCCACUGUGCACAGACACAUCACCUCAGCCCGGCUACCAAGACUUCCAUAGCUCCCGGGCAUACCACUGUUGGAAGAAUAUAUUGCAUUUAUUCUGAGUAACCUUUUUUUUUCUUUUUAGGGCCUCACCCACAGCAUGUGGAAGUUCCCGGGGUAGAGGUCGAAUUGGAGCUGUAGCUGCCAGCCUGCACCACAGCCACAGCCAUGCCAGAUCCGAGCCACAUCUGCAGACCACACCACCGCUCUUGGCAAUGCUGGAUCCUUAACCCACUGAGCGGGGCCAAGGAUCGAACCUGAAGCCUCAUGGAUCCUAGUCGGGUUCAUCACCACUGAGCCACAAUGGGAAUUCCGUAUUGUGAGUAACUUUCUAUCUUCCUGCACUCCCGUGUAACAUAAAAGUGGAGACUGCCUCCAGCUGCAGCUGCCUCCCUUGAUCCCCGUGAGAUGCCCACCAGGGCUGCUUUGUGACUUCCUUAGGCUCUGGUCCUAAGCUUUUGUGGGACCCUCCCUCAACAAAAUAAUACUCUAAAUGGUUUUUUUAUGACUCUUGGUAGAAAGGGGAAUUCUGUACUAAAAAAAAUGUCUUGGACCUAAAAAUUCAUUUUUUUCCUCGAAUUGUAAAAGCAAUUAGAACAUUUUUCUGGGGUCCUAAAAGUAUGAUUGGUCUUAGUGCCCCUUGGAUAAGCUGCGGGCAUAUCAAAAGCUCUGAGAAUGGAUGACUGAUGGAUAGGAGGGAGAAAGAGAAUGCAACCAGCCAGCUUAGGGCAAAAUACAUAAGUUCAUUCACAAGUCAUCAGUCUAACCUUCCCCUCUCCCCUACAUACCCAUUAUCACCUGAGGUCAUUAGGCCCAAAGAAGUGGGACCCCUGUUGCAUGUCUAGGGGCCCUGCUCUUUGGAGCGGCAUCCUCAAUAUUUUCUCCCAAGUCCCCAUCUUGGUCAGGGGCAAACUGGGACCUUAAUACCAUCUGGGCCGGAUGCCCCAAGUCUUGGUCAGGACCCACAGGGACCCUGAUUUCUCUUCCUCCUCUUUGGGGUGUUCUCUAGCCCUUUAAUCCCCUUAAUCCACUCCCCCCAGGUUAAGCACACCAGGAGUUCCAGGACUUGUGUCCGUGGGGAGGCCCGGAAGUUUUGUGGCAGAAACAGGGUUCCAGGAGUGUGACCUGGCAAGCAAGCAAAUCGUUUUCAUUGUCCAGCAAGGCAACUGGGCUACCAGAAUAGCACUGCUGACAUGCUGGUUUGGAAAGAUUCUUAUCCUGCUCAGGCAAAGGGCAAUUUCAGACUCUGGGCUAAUCCUGGGAUUUGAGGAAUACAUGAGAGCCCUUUGCCUGAGCCAACCACAGUAUCAUCUUGGGUCUACAGCACCGAGGAUGGCAGGGCAGUGCUGGCAUCUUUUCCCAGGUGGGCCCUCGCUGCCCCAUCCUCACCCAGGAUGGUCAGCCCACCCCCUUCACAGCCCCACACCAUGUGGCAGGCAGUCCCCCAGUGUGCCCACACCUAUCCCUUCCUGGGGCGUUCAUUGUUCCCAACACCACAUGGCCCUUCCCAUCCACGUGGUGACAGCAGUUUCUCUAGGUUGAUCUUAAGCCAGAUAAGGAACCUAUUUUCCUUCCUGGAAUCCCUUUUCUCACUCUGCCCACAGUCCUUUGUGUGUCCUUCCCAAUGUUGACCAUGUGUGGAAGGCAGGGGGGUGGUCAAGGUUAAAAGAUCUAAGUUGGGGAGUUCCCAUCCUGGCUCAGUGGAAAUGAAUCUGACUAACAACCAUGAGGACGCAGGUUCAAUCCCUGGCUUCGCUCCGUGGGUUAAGGAUCUGGCGUUGUGGUGAACUGUGGUGUAGGUCACAAAUGUAGCUCAGAUCUGGCGUUGCUGUGACUGUGGCCAGCAGCUACAGCUCUGGUUUGACCCCUAGCCUGGGAACAUCUAUAUGCCACUGGUACAGCCCUAAAAAAAAAAAAAAAAAAAAACUAGGCUGGGAUGGAAAUGUCCUAAAAUUAGGUUGUAAUGAUAGUCAUACAACUAUAAAUAUAAUAAAAUACAUUGAAAUAUUAAAAAUAUCUAGGAAUGUAGUGAUUCUGAUGUAAUUCUUAAGAAUUCAAGAAAUGACAUGCUUAGAAGAGGUAUUUGUUCCAUGUUUAUGCUACAAAUUUCCAGACAAUAAAGUCUAGAGGACCAGAAAAUGAAUUAUUGUUCACAUUUUCUGUGUACUCUGAAAAAGACUUGCAUUUGUGACUGUGAUCACUGAUAUCCAAAAACAACAUAUGAUAGUAAUUUUGGAGACAGGUGUUUGUGGGCGGGGCAAUGGCAGUGGGAUACCUGAUGCCAUUAGUGAGUAAUGAUGAGACCAGUUUCACAUAAAGGGGAUAAAUGGGUAUUUCAGAGGCAAAAAGAUCAACGUUGUCUUAACACAAGGUGGAUCUAAGGGCGGUGGUAUUGUAGGUGUACUGCAACCUUACCCUUGGUGGGAAUUAUUAUAUUAUACUUAACAAUUAAGAACACGAAGAGCUGGUGCCUGAUUCUGAACAGAAAGAGGUGUUGAGCUACAUAGAAUCUUCCUGUUCUCCAAUUUGACAAUAAAUACAUACCUAAGUACCUCUUCUCCAUUUAUUAUUCUAAAUCCACCCUGACAAGACGUUGCGCACAAGCUCAUGGAUAUUGGAAGAAAUUUUUUAAAAAGAGUCCUUCUAAGUAGUUCCUGAUGUGGCACAGCAGAAAUGAAUCCAGCUAGUAUCCAUGAGGACACAGGUUCAAUGCCUUGUCUCGCUCAAUUGAUUAAAGGAUCCGGUGUUGGUGUUGCUGUGAGCUGUGGUAUAGGUCACAAAGUUGGCUCGGAUCCCAUGUUGCUGUGGCUGUGGCGUAGGCCAGCAGCUGCAGCUCUGAUUCAACCCAUAGCCUGGGAACUUCCGUGUGCUGCAGGUGCAGCUC